This 211-nucleotide ribosomal RNA is filed under the name uncultured bacterium. RNAcentral's name for it is "partial 16S ribosomal RNA". It matches the Rfam family "Bacterial small subunit ribosomal RNA", at positions 524 to 733 of the family's 1533-position model. The record is from RNAcentral.
UACGUAGGGGGCGAGCGUUGUCCGGAUUCAUUGGGCGUAAAGAGCUCGUAGGCGGUUCAGUAAGUCGGGUGUGAAAUCUCCGUGCUCAACACGGAGCGGCCACCUGAUACUGCUGUGACUCGAGUCCGGUAGGGGAGUGUGGAAUUCCCGGUGUAGCGGUGAAAUGCGCAGAUAUCGGGAGGAACACCCGUAGCGAAGGCGGCACUCUGGG